RNAcentral lists this long non-coding RNA (5370 nucleotides) under Citrus sinensis (sweet orange). RNAcentral's name for it is "long non-coding RNA (CSIN_LNC001308)". The record is from RNAcentral. Lineage: Eukaryota; Viridiplantae; Streptophyta; Magnoliopsida; Sapindales; Rutaceae.
UACAAGCUCAUUCUUGUCAUGCCUGCUUUCAUGAGCCUUGAGAAGAGAAUAAUUCUCCAAGCAUAUGGAGCUCAGUUGAUUCUCACAAAUGCAGAGAUGGGUAUUGAUGAGGAAUUUCGUAUUGUUGAAGAGUUACUGAAUAAGAUACCUACCAGUUUUAAUCCCCACCAAUUCAAAAAUCCUGCCAAUCCAAAGGUAUGUAUGCUUUGCUUGGCCAUAAGGCUACUGAUAAAAUAUACUAAUCAGCGGUUUAUGCAGACUCAUUAUGAAACUACUGGCCCGGAAAUCUGGGAAGGCACAAGAGGGCAAGUUGAUAUUUUUGUUUCUGGAAUAGGGACUGGGGGUACAGUAUCUGGUGUUGGCAAUUUCCUUAAAAAGAAAAAUCCGGAGAUCAAGGUAGUAUUAUUUAUGCUUGAGUUUUGAAAUAGUUGAAUUACCUUUUCUUGUGUAAGCAACUGUUCCUGAUUUUUAGUUCUUUCUUUUUGUUUUGAUUUUUGUUCUGCCUUAAGGUUUAUGGCGUUGAACCGGCUGAAAGUGCAAUUCUGAAUGGUGGAAAGGCUGGUGAGUUCUGAAAACUCAUUUCAUUCAAUUUUUUGGAAAUGUUAUAUUGCACUAUUGCAGCAUCAAUAAUAUGCUAAGGUCUUGGUCUUCCUGUAUGCAUGGCAGCAUCAAUGUGCCGCAGCAACUUCAGUUCAAAACUGAUUUUAACAUACUGUAAUGUGGUUAUAGGUCAUCAUAAGAUUCAAGGAAUCGGCAUUGGGUUUGUCCCCAGUGUUUUAGAUGUCAGCAUUCUUGAUGAAGUUGUUCGAGUAAGCUUCCGAACCCUUGUAAAUUGACUUGCUCGUUAAGAAAAGUACAUUUGGAAGAAUAAGUGUUUGUUCACAUAUAGUAAUUCUGAUUCUGAUAAAAAAUUUCCCAUUUCUGACAUAAUAACAGCAUUGUGCCCGCCCAUUUUCUUCUAUGUAUUUUUUCAUGCUUUUUUCUACUUAGCCUUUCAGACUGAUAAUCUUUCAUAUCUUUAAGGUAACAAGCAAUGAAGCCAUUCAAACAGCUAAGCUUCUUGGUGCAAAAGAAGGUUUGCUGGUAUGUGCAAUCUUCCAGGCAUUUCUAGUACUUUCUCCCUCUGUAAAAUCACCAUUAGGAAAAAAUUGAGGAAAUAAAUUACUUUCCGAGUACGUAAGCUUAAAUAUAUGUUCUGCUGUGACAUAGGCUUAUGAUGGCAUCUAAUUGUUGAUGAUGUUUGUGUUUAUAAAUAUUGCAGGUAGGGAUAUCAUCUGGUGCUGCAGCAGCUGCUGCAAUUAAGAUAGCCAAAAGGGCUGAAAAUGCUGGAAAACUCAUUGUCGUAAGCUCAUUCAAAUUCUUUGAGCUGGUUGCAUUCAUUUUCAUUUCAUAUUGCCUACUUAACAUGUUUGACAUGUUCAUUUGGACAGCCACUGAAUUUGACGCAUAGAAAGCAUAAAUUUAGCUGUUAUAUAAUCCUUAUAUCAACUAACAUUUUCUUAAUCAACUUUGCAACAUGAUUUAACAAGCCCUUAUCAUGCCACUCCAAACUUCAGCAUUGUUGAGAUAAACAUCAUUGACUCAGUUCAACAACUGCUUCUCUCAAUCAUUGCAGGUGAUCUUUCCGAGCUCAGGAGAGCGGUAUCUGUCAUCUGAGAUGUUUGAUGCUGAGAGGCAGGCAGCUGAAAACAUGGCUUAUGUCUCAAAUAUUGCCUAAUGUUUGAGUUUCAGACCUCAAGUGGAACCAAUAUGCUCUCAAAAUAAAGUUAUGCUCCUGAGUUGUAAUAGUAGUUGCAGUGAAAAAGAGGAUGUGUUUGCUUCUGCUUUUGUAAUUCUAAUGCACAAUUGACAAUUUGGUUGGUUCCAUUUAAUGUGAUGCAUUUCUUGAACUAUUUUAAUCAAAUCAGUAAAUUUGACCGAUAGCUACAGCUUGCUAAUUUUCAGUACCAUCAAACAUAUUUUAAAAUAAUUAAAGACACUUUUAUACUGGUUUUGUAGUGUUUACAAGACAAGAAAAAUAAAAAAGAUUUUACCAGGUCCAAAAAACCACCUGCAGUUAUUGUAGAAAAGCACUUUUUUUAGUAUAAAAAUACUUGGAAGUGCUUUCCAAAAAAGGAUCACAUGUUUCACAAAAAAAUGCUUCUGCAGAAGUGUUUUUGUUUAACUUGAAAAAGCCUAUUGAUACAAGCAUUCGCAGACAUACCACGGCUGGGAUUUAAAAUGGGCCUGGGUCGGAUUGGCAACUCCAAGGACGGGCUCAACUUUGGCGGACGGGGCCGAGCCUGAGCCCACAAAACUGCUUCCUCUCCAUCACACGUGGCACGGCAAGUGACAAAUUUCUCUCACAACAGAUCUCCCUCUCGCCCGCACAGGGCUCAACAUUCCAUUUCCAUUUCCGUUUCUUACCCAAACACGCACGGAUCUAAGAGAGCUUCGGAAUAUGGCUUUAAUGGCCGUAUUAGAAUCCGAUCUUCGAGCUCUCUCAGCUGAAGCUCGCCGUCGCUAUCCCGCCGUCAAGGACGGAGCUGAGCACGCGAUCUUGAAGGUCGCAAUUCUCACUUGUUUUGUGAUGUAGCCCAGUUUACCACGCCCACAAAUCACAAUCUUGACUGACUGUGCCCAUUGUAGGUAGUUUCUACCAUUUAAUUUGUGGGCUGUAAUAUGAAGAGAUGCAUCGCUUCCGGAAAGAGAAGCAAUUGGGAUGGAACUAGGCUCAGCCAUAGAUUGGCUAGAUGUUGAAGAUCCGGUAUUGUCACCAGAUGAGAUGUCGAGAGAGCGUUAUCUAUCCACAGCAUUGUUUGAAUCCAUUAGAAAUGAAGUGCAAAAUAUGUCCAUUGAUUAAGACGUCACAAAGUUUAGGAAGCAGCUGCCUGAAUUUAGGACAAACAUCCCUGUAUUUUCCACACGAGCCAGCCUAUGUUCGCCUAUCCAUUAUCCGACCGUAUUUUAGUUCUUCUGAAGUUGUGACGGUUAGAUUCUAGAGAAUGGAACUAAGCCUUCAACAGAAGAAGAUUCAAUGUAUUCUGUAUGUACAAUUGCAAUUUAGAUAAUCAAUCUGUUAAUGAAGCAAUGUAUUGUAAAAUAAUCUCAAAUUUGCUUGCUUUUGUUUUCAAGUUUUGGAUAAGUUUGACAGAUAGUUGUUGUUGUUGUUGUUUGCAACUAACCUAAUUCUGCAAUGAAAAUUAAACCUUAAAUAUACCAAAAUUUGAAAACCAAAUGAAACAUUUAUGAUCACUAAUGACAGUUCUAAGUAAAAUGAGUUGUUCAAGCACUUUUUUUUUUUUUUUUGGAUCUUAACCACGAGGUAUCUUGGGGAGAGCCUCAACUGUAGGAGGCACAUUUAAGCAUGUACCACAACCCAGAUUAGAAGUCUCCGCUCGAAUCGGAAGGCAUAUGUUCUCCCAACAAAGGCGACUUCCCUACGACUCGAAUUGGAAAGCAAGCUCAGUCAAGCCACUUAAGGGGAUUUCAUUACAAGUGGAGCCAACAGGUUCAAGCACUUUAAUUAAUACAUAAUUAUACAGGGAGUUUAUUAUGCAUUAACAGCCAGUUUUAGUUCCCUAACUAUAAGUUAGCAUUUAAUGCAUUGUAGUUUCACUCUCUCUUUCUUCAGCGACGCGACAGAAUUUAUGCGGAUAAUAGAAUCGGAGAACCGAUUACCGGGCAGGUCAUAUCAUGCCAUCGCUCUGCAAAACGAAGUUAAUGUAUAUAAAAUGAUCGAAAGCUUUUGUACUGUUUCUGCAUGAAAUUGUUAAGAGUAUAAUAAAUACUAUUGUUGAGCCGUUACCUAUAAGCUUAAGCUUUUGGUUGAGGUAGAGACUUUUGUCAUCACUAGAAACAAUUGUCUUUUGCCAACUUUAUCUGACUAAUUUCUGAGAAAGCAUUUUACCAACUUCAGUUCUAACUGUCUAAAUAAGCAACAUUUUCUUCCUCUCUUAGCAACUCCUGCAGAAUAGACAAAAAAGCCAUUUUAUCUUCCUUUUUAGUAAUUCCUGCAGUAUAGACAAAAAGCCAGUGUGUUAAUUAAAAGCCAGUGUAAUUCCUGCCACCUAUUCUUUAGCUUGUCAGCUAUAAAUAGCUGUGAUUGCUGCAUAAAUUUGACCGUUCAGUGUUCUUGAGUUGUUGAAGCCAUUGUAUUCGGGUACUUGAAGCUUUUCUUUGUGUUUGAUUUAAUUUUUGUUCUACUGAUGUAUAUUAUUUCAAGUUACUAGUUUAUAAUUUUCUUCCCAGGCUUACUCAUAUGAUUCAUGUAAUUUCUUGGUACCUUAUACCCUUCUUGAAUCCAAGUUUGGAAUUCUUUGAUCGGUUUCUUCAAAUACUGAAUUCACUUCCCCACUUUAUGCUUAUUAAUCUUUUGACUUCUAACACUCUUUAACUCUUUUUUCAGCUGAGGGAAAUAUGGGAUCAGAGAAGUGUGCCAUUGCAAACGAUAUAACCGAAGUAAAAUGCCUUCAUCUAAUUCUGAUUUUUCAUUUUUUCCUUUCAUAUGCUCUGAGAUUUUCUCAUUUUGUUGCAUAUUUUAUUAUCAGUUGAUUGGCAAUACCCCAAUGGUUUACCUCAACAAUAUUGUGGAUGGUUGCAAGGCACGUAUUGCUGCUAAGCUAGAGAUGAUGGAACCCUGUUCUAGUGUCAAAGACAGGUAAUACUUGAAACCUAUCCUUAAUCUUCUGUUGAUCUUUCUUUUUGGCACAUCUUAGUAGUAAUUGAUAUUGAAUAUUAUCUUUGUACUAAUUUUCAUUUUUGUUAUUUCUCCAAAUUUUUUGGGUUCACUUCAUACAAGUUGGCUUCAAUCACUGAUAUGCAGGAUUGCAUUUAGUAUGAUCAAAGAUGCUGAAGAGAAGGGCCUUAUCACACCAGGGAAGGUUGUUAACUUUCCUUUUUUCUUCUAUCAAGAAAAUAUCAACAUAAGUCUCUUUAAGAGUUAUUGUGAUUUGUAAGCAUACUGGAAUGAAAAUGAACUGGGAAGUAGUUUUGGGAUUAAUCAAUUUUCCACGUGAAUGAAUAAAGACUGUCCUCAUUGAAUGUACAAGUGGAAAUACCGGCAUAGGGAUGGCAUGCUUUGCAGCAGCUAAGGGUUACAAGCUCAUUCUUGUCAUGCCUGCUUUCAUGAGCCUUGAGAAGAGAAUAAUUCUCCAAGCAUAUGGAGCUCAGUUGAUUCUCACAAAUGCAGAGAUGGGUAUUGAUGAGGAAUUUCGUAUUGUUGAAGAGUUACUGAAUAAGAUACCUACCAGUUUUAAUCCCCACCAAUUCAAAAAUCCUGCCAAUCCAAAGGUAUGUAUGCUUUGCUUGGCCAUAAGGCUACUGAUAAAAUAUACUAAUCAGCGGUUUAUGCAGACUCAUUAUGAAACUACUGGCCCGGAAAUCUGGGAA